AAACAUGUCUUUUUGAAUUAAAUUUAAAGUCUAACCUGCCCACUGAAAUUUUAAAUGGCCGCAGUAUCCUAACUGUGCAAAGGUAGCAUAAUCAUUAGUCUUUUAAUUGAAGGCUGGUAUGAAUGGUUGGACGAGAUACUAACUGUUUCAAUUGAAUUUAUUAUAGAACUUUAUCUUUUAGUCAAAAAGCUAAAAUUUAUUUAAAAGACGAGAAGACCCUAUAAAUCUUUAUACUUUUCUAUGUUUUAAUUAUAAGGAUUUAUUAAAUUAUUAUGUAUAAAAGUAUUUUAUUGGGGUGAUAUUAAAAUUUGAUAAACUUUUAAUUGUUUAAAUCAUUAAUGUAUGAAUAAUUGAUCCGUUUUUAACGAUUAGAAAUUUAAGUUACUUUAGGGAUAACAGCGUAAUUUUUUUGGAGAGUUCAUAUCGAUAAAAAAGAUUGCGACCUCGAUGUUGGAUUAAGAUAUAGAUUUGGGCGCAGCCGUUCAAGUUUUUAGUCUGUUCGACUAUUUGAUUCUUACAUGAUCU
This 525-nucleotide ribosomal RNA is filed under the name Coelopa vanduzeei. RNAcentral's name for it is "partial 16S ribosomal RNA". It matches the Rfam family "Bacterial large subunit ribosomal RNA", at positions 1811 to 2606 of the family's 2925-position model. The record is from RNAcentral. Lineage: Eukaryota; Metazoa; Arthropoda; Insecta; Diptera; Coelopidae.